RNAcentral lists this ribosomal RNA (2151 nucleotides) under Staphylococcus aureus. RNAcentral's name for it is "partial 23S ribosomal RNA". It matches the Rfam family "Bacterial large subunit ribosomal RNA", at positions 468 to 2623 of the family's 2925-position model. Lineage: Bacteria; Bacillati; Bacillota; Bacilli; Caryophanales; Staphylococcaceae. The record is from RNAcentral.
AAAUACUCUCUAGUGACCGAUAGUGAACCAGUACCGUGAGGGAAAGGUGAAAAGCACCCCGGAAGGGGAGUGAAAUAGAACCUGAAACCGUGUGCUUACAAGUAGUCAGAGCCCGUUAAUGGGUGAUGGCGUGCCUUUUGUAGAAUGAACCGGCGAGUUACGAUUUGAUGCAAGGUUAAGCAGUAAAUGUGGAGCCGUAGCGAAAGCGAGUCUGAAUAGGGCGUUUAGUAUUUGGUCGUAGACCCGAAACCAGGUGAUCUACCCUUGGUCAGGUUGAAGUUCAGGUAACACUGAAUGGAGGACCGAACCGACUUACGUUGAAAAGUGAGCGGAUGAACUGAGGGUAGCGGAGAAAUUCCAAUCGAACCUGGAGAUAGCUGGUUCUCUCCGAAAUAGCUUUAGGGCUAGCCUCAAGUGAUGAUUAUUGGAGGUAGAGCACUGUUUGGACGAGGGGCCCCUCUCGGGUUACCGAAUUCAGACAAACUCCGAAUGCCAAUUAAUUUAACUUGGGAGUCAGAACAUGGGUGAUAAGGUCCGUGUUCGAAAGGGAAACAGCCCAGACCACCAGCUAAGGUCCCAAAAUAUAUGUUAAGUGGAAAAGGAUGUGGCGUUGCCCAGACAACUAGGAUGUUGGCUUAGAAGCAGCCAUCAUUUAAAGAGUGCGUAAUAGCUCACUAGUCGAGUGACACUGCGCCGAAAAUGUACCGGGGCUAAACAUAUUACCGAAGCUGUGGAUUGUCCUUUGGACAAUGGUAGGAGAGCGUUCUAAGGGCGUUGAAGCAUGAUCGUAAGGACAUGUGGAGCGCUUAGAAGUGAGAAUGCCGGUGUGAGUAGCGAAAGACGGGUGAGAAUCCCGUCCACCGAUUGACUAAGGUUUCCAGAGGAAGGCUCGUCCGCUCUGGGUUAGUCGGGUCCUAAGCUGAGGCCGACAGGCGUAGGCGAUGGAUAACAGGUUGAUAUUCCUGUACCACCUAUAAUCGUUUUAAUCGAUGGGGGGACGCAGUAGGAUAGGCGAAGCGUGCGAUUGGAUUGCACGUCUAAGCAGUAAGGCUGAGUAUUAGGCAAAUCCGGUACUCGUUAAGGCUGAGCUGUGAUGGGGAGAAGACAUUGUGUCUUCGAGUCGUUGAUUUCACACUGCCGAGAAAAGCCUCUAGAUAGAAAAUAGGUGCCCGUACCGCAAACCGACACAGGUAGUCAAGAUGAGAAUUCUAAGGUGAGCGAGCGAACUCUCGUUAAGGAACUCGGCAAAAUGACCCCGUAACUUCGGGAGAAGGGGUGCUCUUUAGGGUUAACGCCCAGAAGAGCCGCAGUGAAUAGGCCCAAGCGACUGUUUAUCAAAAACACAGGUCUCUGCUAAACCGUAAGGUGAUGUAUAGGGGCUGACGCCUGCCCGGUGCUGGAAGGUUAAGAGGAGUGGUUAGCUUCUGCGAAGCUACGAAUCGAAGCCCCAGUAAACGGCGGCCGUAACUAUAACGGUCCUAAGGUAGCGAAAUUCCUUGUCGGGUAAGUUCCGACCCGCACGAAAGGCGUAACGAUUUGGGCACUGUCUCAACGAGAGACUCGGUGAAAUCAUAGUACCUGUGAAGAUGCAGGUUACCCGCGACAGGACGGAAAGACCCCGUGGAGCUUUACUGUAGCCUGAUAUUGAAAUUCGGCACAGCUUGUACAGGAUAGGUAGGAGCCUUUGAAACGUGAGCGCUAGCUUACGUGGAGGCGCUGGUGGGAUACUACCCUAGCUGUGUUGGCUUUCUAACCCGCACCACUUAUCGUGGUGGGAGACAGUGUCAGGCGGGCAGUUUGACUGGGGCGGUCGCCUCCUAAAAGGUAACGGAGGCGCUCAAAGGUUCCCUCAGAAUGGUUGGAAAUCAUUCAUAGAGUGUAAAGGCAUAAGGGAGCUUGACUGCGAGACCUACAAGUCGAGCAGGGUCGAAAGACGGACUUAGUGAUCCGGUGGUUCCGCAUGGAAGGGCCAUCGCUCAACGGAUAAAAGCUACCCCGGGGAUAACAGGCUUAUCUCCCCCAAGAGUUCACAUCGACGGGGAGGUUUGGCACCUCGAUGUCGGCUCAUCGCAUCCUGGGGCUGUAGUCGGUCCCAAGGGUUGGGCUGUUCGCCCAUUAAAGCGGUACGCGAGCUGGGUUCAGAACGUCGUG